RNAcentral lists this ribosomal RNA (459 nucleotides) under uncultured bacterium. Its description in RNAcentral is "partial 16S ribosomal RNA". It matches the Rfam family "Bacterial small subunit ribosomal RNA", at positions 338 to 795 of the family's 1533-position model. The record is from RNAcentral.
CCUACGGGAGGCAGCAGUGAGGAAUAUUGGUCAAUGGCCGAGAGGCUGAACCAGCCAAGCCGCGUGAGGGAAGACGGUCCUACGGGUUGUAAACCUCUUUUGUCGGGGAGCAAAGAGAGUCACGUGUGACUCAUUGAGAGUACCCGAAGAAAAAGCAUCGGCUAACUCCGUGCCAGCAGCCGCGGUAAUACGGAGGAUGCGAGCGUUAUCCGGAUUUAUUGGGUUUAAAGGGUGCGCAGGCGGAUUAUUAAGUCAGCGGUAAAAUCGUGGGGCUCAACCCCAUCGAGCCGUUGACACUGGGGAUCUAGAGUGUGCGAGAGGUAUGCGGAAUGCGGGGUGUAGCGGUGAAAUGCAUAGAUAUCACGCAGAACCCCGAUUGCGAAGGCAGCAUACCGGUGCACAACUGACGCUCAGGCACGAAAGCGUGGGUAUCGAACAGGAUUAGAUACCCGAGUAGUC